Tympanuchus pallidicinctus (lesser prairie-chicken) is the source of this 2113-nucleotide long non-coding RNA. RefSeq lists it as uncharacterized. The record is from RefSeq and is a predicted model, not a curated record. Lineage: Eukaryota; Metazoa; Chordata; Aves; Galliformes; Phasianidae. The transcript is spliced from 13 exons.
UCCCUAACCUCAUUUAAAGGCUGACAACCAGAACAGAAGGAUCUCUACUUGGAGAUUGCCUCCUUUGGAAGUUUCUAACAAAUCCUGAUCCUUAGCAAGGGGAUCUGACUGCCAACUUAAGAACUUGAAAACAACAGAACAACCGGUCCUUUAGAUCUAUUAUGAGGAAAAUCCAAGUUUGGAUCCUGGAAAGUAGCUGGACCCUGCUCCUUAUGUUACGAAGGCAUCUUCUGCAGAGUCUGCAUUGCUUGAUUUAUACACAAUCAUUUGAAGGGCCUCCACACUUCUAUCUGUCAUCCCAGGAUGAGGUGUGGACAAUCCAUUCUCUCAGUGGGAAAUUGAAGAAAACCUGAAGUAAGGAGAAUAAUCAGAUUCUUUCAGUUCCUGCCUCUAUCAGUUGCUAUUCUGUGCCUCUUCUCUCCCUGCAGUGUGACACAGGCCUUGAGAAGUGAAGAUAAGUGAAGAUGAGAUUCCAUGUGCAUACAGGAGGGAGGAGUCCCGGUCUACAGAUGAUAGGAUAUGAGAAGAUAAGAAAGCAAUGGAAAAAGGUUCCAGCUGAGUCUUAUACCUUUGAUAUAGACUGUGAAUUUGAAAAAGAAGAAAAAAUAAAAAAUAAAGAAAAAAAGGAAGAGGUAAAACUAUUCAGAUGCAGGAGAUCACAGCAUAUUGCUUCUUCUUACAUGGCUCUUUCGAAAGGUUAAUCAUCAAACUUUAGUUUGGGACUAUAUAAUGUACUUCCCAACUCCGCCCACUGUACCAUGAGAUCAACAAGAUUAGAUAUCUCUGUAGCCUGCUCACCAGCAAAAUGUGAUAUUCUGGCUGAGACAAGAAGCUAAGAACAACUGGCCUGCAAGAUUAAGACUGGCUAUCAUACUGUGGCUCUGUAACCCUCUGCUGGACUAAACCUGAAGUUUGCUGUACAUGGUUUGUGUCUACAUCAGAAGGCAAAGAAGAAAGCACGCCACUGCUUCUGCUGACAGUACAGGAAAGGAUCCUUGCUGCAUCUGCUGCAGACUGAAGUGGCAACUCAAUUACCCCUGCCAGUGGUGAGGAUGCUCCCAGCUGCUCUGAGUCUCCUUGACUGCAUAAAAUUCAUGACGUACCUGAAGAGGAGUAUAUGGUGGUUGCUGUGUUCACAUCUGCUUCCGUUAGGGAUGAGCAGCUGGAUUCGGUCAAGGAACCCUUGACCGUCACGGGAGCAAUGCUGGGAUGGCGUAAGGCAGCUUUCAGGGGAGCGAUGUGGUUAUACCAAACAGAAGACAUGCAGCCAGUGAAACCGUAGACAUUUGCCUUUGAGACUUCAGGGUCCAGUGCUAAACUGUCUGCGACACAACAGAAAAACAGUCUGGAGAUUGUCAGUUUGAGGAAGACAGGAUCUGUGUCCAUGAUGUCAUGCAGCCAGAGGGAACAAGAAAAGUCUAUUAAGUUAGAAGACUAAAUACUCUGAUGGAUGGAUGAACUACUGCUGCCAGAGGAGUUAAGAGGACAAUCUCUGGGCUGGGAAUGACCGAACAACUGCCAGAGAGAUGUGAAGGAAUGGAAAGAAUAUUACAGGAUUUCCUUGCAAACAACUGAAAAAAGAGUGCCAAGAGGAAAGAUUUGAGAUAAUGAUUUCAUUGGCCUGAGAGAAGAUAAUUUUGGUCACGCAAUUGGUAUGGUAUCAAAAAGACAGCUUGUCACAGAAGAAGAAAUUUCACCUUGGAUUACACUGUGAAAUUCAUGAUGUGAAAGUUUGGAAUGUAGGAAAUAAAAUCAGUCUCAACAUUGCCAGCCCUACAUGGUUCUGCAUGAGCUUGAAAUGUAACAUAUUGGGGAAAAAAAAAAGGAAUGGGGAAAAAAAACACGGGCCUUGGAUUGCAUGAAGCGGUUGUGUUAUUGUAGCCUGGUUAUUUUCAGUAGAGUAAACUAGCUCCUAAAACACUCUGAAAUAGCUGCAAGGAUUAUGUGUAAAAUACUGCUCCACGGAACCAUGCUGGGCUGUGCAGAGACAUAUAAGUGAAACACCGAUAGCUGGAGAAUGUCUGCCUCCAAGUCGGUCUCACAAAAGCAGCCUGACACCGAAGCUUCCCAGUAAGACCAAAGAGUAAAUGGUGGACUGCCACGAGCAUGGGUG